AAAUGCUUACGGAAGCAGACAAGUGCUAAUAAGGUCCUUAAAUGGGCCUGCAUGGAAAAAAAGAAACAUACAAGGUAAGAUCGAAAGGUUUUACACGAAUUAAUCAGGUUGAAGCUGAGGAGCAAGAUGGAUGACUUCUGAGUUGAGUUGUGUCUGUCGGGGGCAGGAGGUAGAGAGUGGGUGGCUUAUGGAGGAACUGAACAAGUAUAGCUAAAAGAAAGUACUCCCAGAGGUGGGACUGGUGACUAUAGAGGUUAGAAGAUGCCUCCUGAAUGCACUGCAAGCCUGAAAUUACUUUGUCUCUUGGAGGACAAAUUGUCUUUGUAGCAAAAUCAUAAAGGAACACCCUGGGUUAGGCCUGAUAGUGUGGGCCGGUAAGCCUAACUACUAAGCAGGCUAAGGCAGGAGGACCACAAUUUCAUGGCCUUCCUAGGCUAUACUGACAAUCAUAGUAAGGGCAAGGCUAGGCUGGACAUCUUAAGGAGACCUUGUCUCAAAACAUUUUUAAGAAGUUGGUGGAAUGCUGGCCUAGCAUGAGAGGUCCUGGAUUCAAUCCCUAAGACUGGAUGUAGAGAAAGUCAGUCAUGUAUAUCAAACUCCAGGACAGAGAGACUGCGGUCAGACCAACUUGUGCUUGAAUCUUGAAACCUAUUGGUUGCAGCCAAUACCAAGUAACAAGGCAAGGUGGGGCUGAGGCUGCAGCAAUGGUAGAGCACAUCUAGAACCUGCUGGGCCAUAGUCUCAGGCUCCAGUGCCCAAAUGACAAUAAACAAUUCAAAAAAGAAAAACUUCGAGAUAAUGAGAAGAAAAACGUAGGCCUCCCAUUCCUUGCCUACUUCUGCCUCAGAUUCAAAUCUCCCAUCCAAGUAUUAACCAGGCCAAAGCCUGCUUAGCUUCUAAGAUCAGAUGAGAUUGGGGACAUUCAGGGUGGUAUUGGCUAUAAGCCUAGCUUUAAAUCUUUGACAAGGCCCAGAAAAGGCCAGUAGCAUAGAGACAGCUUUUCUUUAUAUCAUCUUUAGAAUAGGUUGUAAAGAAUAUUCCUGGUAGAUAGCCCUUCUACCUAUUCUGAUAGAUAGCUCCCACCUUGACAAGCUUUCCUGUUUUUAUUGCUUCAAGUUGUAUGUCUAUAAAGGCAUGUUUGACUGUAUGCAUUUACUUUUGAAGGCAUUCUUGCUGAAUCUACAGGCAACUCUUCAUCUCUGUAAUGCUACCUGACUUCUCUUGUGAGGAGCUGGUGAGGAAGUUGGUAGGUCUCUGCAGACACUAGGGCCAGCAAAGUGUUGUGGAGUCCUGUGAGGCAAGAAAGAAAUCUGGCUUAACAUGACUCAUAGCUGAUGUUGGUUCAAACUUGUAGUGUCUGACACCAGGCAGUUUAUUUUAGGCAUAUUUAAGUAUAGUACAAUUUGGAAAAAAAAAAGUUUCUUAGUGCAACACAAUCCUGUGUGCACAAUGAGGCAUGAUUACACUGAAACUCUUCUCAGAUACAGGUCUGCUCUUCCAUACAGUCAUACAGAUAGCACAGAAGUCAUCUUGACUAUUAGCUACCUCUGGUCCUGGUUGUGGGAGCUUGGGGAAGCCCUGCCCAUACAAAUAAUGCACUGGUCAUUUAGACGAUUAGCUACCUCAGGUCCUCCUUGUGGGAGCUCAGGGGAAGCCAGAUAUGGCCUGGUCCUACAGAUAGCACAGGGGUUACCUAGGCUAGUAGCCACUUGCAUUCCCAGCCUUCUUGGCAGAAAAUAAGCUAUACAUCUUUUCUCUUGAAAAGACAACCCUGCAUAUUUAGCAUUCCUGGCUUCCCUAGUGAGCACAAGGACCUUUGUGUUCCCAACAGAAUCCGGUUAUCAAAUAGAAAAGUGUGUCCAAAAAAAGAGAAGGAUUGCAACAUGGUGUGCUGGCAUGUGGCAUGUGAAGUAGGAACCAAAUGGAGGGAAAGAAGCAACUACUCCCAAGCUGGAGAAGUAGCUCAGUUGGUAGUGCUUCUGUAGCGUACAGAAAACCCUGCGUUCAGUCCUCAGCAUCUCGUGCAAUCAGUGUGAUGAUGUGCACAAGUAAUUCUACCAGUUGGCAGCGGGAGGCAGGAGGAUCAGAUGUUCAAAGUCAUCCUCAGCUACAUAGAGAGUUCUAGGCUAAUCUGAGCUAGACAUUCUGUCUUGCUUUUGAUUGACAGGCUGUGGGCAGGAGCAUGGUGAGCGUGACAGUCCACAUGAGCCUCAUCACCAUCCUUUCUUCUACGCUUUGCAUCCAGGCCCAGACUCUGUUGAUAGUUUUCUUUCUGUGCCAAAGAACAGUGGGAAAGAGAUUUAGAAAAGGGAAAUAUUUGUAUCUGGGAAGGAGCAGAGCCCUCAGCGACCUCUGGGGUGAUUUUCUUUGAACUAGUCGUUGUUCCAUUAUUCUGUUUGCCUAUAUCCCUAAAGGUUAGGGGACAGUAUCAAUUUCCUUCUGUACCCACAAGUCCACUGCAUAAAUCAGUAAUUAUUUGCUGAAAAAAAAAAUAAGCAACCAAGCAUAGGAUAAUCAGGUUGCCUGGUUGGUGACUCUUGAGUCUGAAUUCCCAAGGACAGUAAUCCUCUUAUCCCCUAAGCUGUUCUAGCUGCGUCUAACAGAGAUAGAAAGUGACAGAUGCAGUCUCUUUCUGAUCUAUAUUUAGUUGGAAGUAGGAGCUUUCCAUGUCACUUGAGGCCUUAUGAAUUCUUCUCUGAAGAGUCUAAGUGGCCAGAUACUUUCUGUUCAAGGACUGCCAAAUGCUACUUAAUAGCACUGUAAGUUCAAAUGAAAUAUGUUUAUAGAUGGUGCUGUGUGUGCAGCGGGGAACCAAACUUUACACUGCUAAGGCGGGUGGGAAUUAAUCCAGGCAUUGUAUCAGUGCAGAGGCUCCUCAAAAGACUAAGAAUAGAACUAACACACGAGGGCUGGAGAGAUGGCUCAGCGGUUAAGAGCCCUGACUGUUCUUGCAGAGGUCCCGAGUUCAGUUCCCAGCAACCACAUGGUGGUGCAAAAUCAUCUGUAAUGGUAAUCCAAUGCCCUCUUCUGGUGUGUCUGAAGAGAGUGACAGUGUACUCACAUACAUAAAAUAAAUAAAUAUUAAAAAAAACCCUAACAUACGAGUCAGCUACUUCUGUGCAUAUGCCCGAAGGAAUCAAAGUGAGCAUACAAUAGAAACACUACACCCCCGUGUUUAUUGUAGCACUAUUCAUAUCAGCCAGGUUUUGGAAUCAGUGGAAGAGUCUAUCAAUGGAUAAAAGGAUAAAGAAAAUGUGGUAUACAUUCACAAUGGCAUUGGAUCAUCUACAGAGAUGUGGUGGGCAGGAGAAUGGAUCAAACUACAGAUUGUCAUGGUCAGCAAAAUAAGCCAGACUCAGAAAAUCAAAAUGCUCAUAUCUUUUCCCAUAUACAGAAUCUAUAUUAAAAUAAAAAGAUAGCGAGGGCAGAAGUGGGACUAUUUGACAGGUGAGAAGGAGGGGGACAAGAGGCUAUUAGAAUAGAUACUAUUAAAAUAUAUCAUAUAUGAAAAUAUCACAGAAUACAUUGUUAUAUACAAUUAAUAUAUGAUAAGAAUUUUAAAGUAUGCAUUUGUACACAAUACAGUUUCAAGGGUAGCCGCUAAUAUACUUUGCAGUCACCUCUACCUGGCAGAAUUUUAGUAAUCUUUCACUUAUUUGUUUCCUAAGAAAGUAUGUAUUGUUAUAUCGAUCAUUGUCAUUUAAAAUAUUGUGAAUAUAAAAUAAAACUGAAU
Molecule: long non-coding RNA, 3733 nt
Filed under: Mus musculus (house mouse)
Lineage: Eukaryota; Metazoa; Chordata; Mammalia; Rodentia; Muridae
Description: long non-coding RNA chr2:112468422-112472155
Source: RNAcentral